Molecule: ribosomal RNA, 329 nt
Filed under: uncultured eukaryote
Lineage: Eukaryota
Description: partial 18S ribosomal RNA
Rfam family: Eukaryotic small subunit ribosomal RNA
Source: RNAcentral
CCCUUAGAUGUCCUGGGCCGCACGCGCGCUACACUGAGUGUCUGAGAUACGAGUCUGCCUGGUCCGGCAAGGUCUAGGUAAUCGCUAAAAGACACAUCAUGCUUGGGAUAGAUUAUUGCAAAUAUUAAUCUUGAACGAGGAAUUCCUAGUAAGCGCAAGUCAACAGCUUGCGUUGAUUACGUCCCUGCCCUUUGUACACACCGCCCGUCGCUACUACUGAUUGGAUGUUUAAGCGAGGUUCUCGAACUGCUAGCGACUUAGCUUCGGUGAGGUCGCAGUGUGUGAAGUGAACCGAGCUUUGGUGUCUAGAGGAAGUAAAAGUCGUAACA